GAGAUGAGGUCGUGGGGGAGGAAGGAGAAGAGGGCAUGGAAUUCAUGGGGGAGGAAGAAGAGGAGGCCAUGGAGGUCGUGGGAGAGAGGGCAGGAGGCCACGGGGGAGGAAGAAGAUGCCCCCUCGUUUCUGAAGUUGGUCUUCACCUCAAAUGCGAUGGCUGCUCCCAGUUGUGGUUGGACAUUCCUGUUCAUUGGUUGCUACUCAUAUGAGAUUUUUUUCAUUUUCCCUACAGAUUGGUCCAAUUUGAGCGGAUUCUCUUCCUCUUGGUCGGUCCCCUGGAUGUGCCUCCCUUGAUCUCUGCCUGCACAUCCUUUAUAAGCACCCUCCUGCGUCUCCGUUCAUGGAUCGACAGGUGCAUGGGCACUUGCCGCUGCAGCCAGAGUUGCCACCAAAUCAGAUUAGAAGUUUUUCAAACAGAUUCCUAUAUUUUGAAGUGGUUAUGCUCAUCACAUAGCUGGGCUAGAUCAUGUCUUACUAUAUAAUGUACUUCAUCGUGUCUCAAGCUUCUGUGCUUAAUGGUACUGGAAAUAUAUAAACAGGACAAAGAAUACAAGUUAGUAAUGGGCACUUCAUAUGUGAUGCCAUGUGAGGAAGCCUUGGUAUGAUACAAUAAGAGAUGGUAAUUUGAGGGAGGUCAGAAUCCAAAUUUGUAGCUACCUACCCAGGUUACUAAAUUCAGUAUACUAUAAAAAGUAUGUGCUGCUGUAGUAUUUAUCUACAAUUGAGUAUGGUUGUCGGUCUGUUUUUCAGAUUACUGCUAUGCUUUGCUUUGCUGGUCUAUUUAUCCACACUAUGCUUUGCUGGACUACCCAUUUAUGUUUCCCUUAGGUAUUCCAAACUUAGUCCGAUCCCAUGGGUGAUGGCUGAUUGAUGGCCUCUGCUUGGUACUGCACGAUAAGUUGGAACUACUGAUGCUCCAAUUGCAGCCAGCCUUUUCUUAAUCCUCGUGUAAAAAGAUGGCCAUGUCGGCGGCGCUACGCGGCAACCAUAUCUGCAAGAACCGCACCCGUCGCAGGUAGGAACGCGCUACGGCACCUCGAGUCACACUAAACGGGGGUGCAACCCAUCAGUAUUUUCAGGUAGAGUACACAGAGGGCGGAAGUACAUUGACGGAAAUGAUGACACCCUUCCACUGAAGCUCGCAGCCGGCACCGUGAACUACGACAAUCGCUUCAUGCUUGAAACCGGCAAGAAGGCCACCAUCACAACAGAUUGAUCAUUGUUUCGUCACCACGCUAACAUCCAGGAGGGCGACAUCCGCGCCUUCUAUUUCAAGCGCAAGGAAAGGCAUAAGGUCAUCACAUCGUCUCUCCCUCACCGUCCAUCGCAUCGUCUCUAGGCAUAAGGUCAUCAGCAGGAUAUAUAUGAACCAUCUAUCAUCUUUAGCUUAUCUCAAUGCUGUGCUCUAUCAUCCACCUUGUAAGACUCUGGCCUAUCUUAUAAUAUGCACCUACUACCUCUUAUAUGUAUGAUGAUCGAACACUUUUCUUCUAAGCUUGUG
Long non-coding RNA from Triticum aestivum (bread wheat), 1504 nucleotides. RefSeq lists it as uncharacterized. The transcript is spliced from 6 exons. Lineage: Eukaryota; Viridiplantae; Streptophyta; Magnoliopsida; Poales; Poaceae. The record is from RefSeq and is a predicted model, not a curated record.